AGUGAACGCUGGCGGUAGGCCUAACACAUGCAAGUCGAACGGCAGCACAGUAAGAGCUUGCUCUUACGGGUGGCGAGUGGCGGACGGGUGAGGAAUACAUCGGAAUCUACUUUUUCGUGGGGGAUAACGUAGGGAAACUUACGCUAAUACCGCAUACGACCUACGGGUGAAAGCAGGGGAUCUUCGGACCUUGCGCGAUUGAAUGAGCCGAUGUCGGAUUAGCUAGUUGGCGGGGUAAAGGCCCACCAAGGCGACGAUCCGUAGCUGGUCUGAGAGGAUGAUCAGCCACACUGGAACUGAGACACCGUCCAGACUCCUACGGGAGGCAGCAGUGGGGAAUAUUGGACAAUGGGCGCAAACCUGAUCCAGCCAUACCGCGUGGGUGAAGAAGGCCUUCGGGUUGUAAAGCCCUUUUGUUGGGAAAGAAAAGCAGCAGGUUAAUACCCCGCUGUUCUGACGGUAACCAAAGAAUAAGCACCGGCUAACUUCGUG
Molecule: ribosomal RNA, 492 nt
Filed under: uncultured bacterium
Lineage: Bacteria
Description: partial 16S ribosomal RNA
Rfam family: Bacterial small subunit ribosomal RNA
Source: RNAcentral